UUGGUUCCGGCAUCGAUGAAGAACGCAGCGAAAUGCGAUAACUAAUGUGAAUUGCAGAAUUCAGUGAAUCAUCGAGUCUUUGAACGCACAUUGCGCCCCCUGGUAUUCCGGGGGGCAUGCCUGUCCGA
Molecule: ribosomal RNA, 128 nt
Filed under: Aspergillus tubingensis
Lineage: Eukaryota; Fungi; Ascomycota; Eurotiomycetes; Eurotiales; Aspergillaceae
Description: partial 5.8S ribosomal RNA
Rfam family: 5.8S ribosomal RNA
About the family: 5.8S ribosomal RNA (5.8S rRNA) is a component of the large subunit of the eukaryotic ribosome. It is transcribed by RNA polymerase I as part of the 45S precursor that also contains 18S and 28S rRNA. Functionally, it is thought that 5.8S rRNA may be involved in ribosome translocation.
Source: RNAcentral